CUCCACCAAGUGAAUAGACUUGCAAGACAACUUGCUAAGGAAUAACUCCACACAAGUCGACAAGACUACGCCAUUCUCCUAUCCUAAGUGCACUCGAGUUCGGGUAUGGAACUCAUCUCACAAAGAUCACCAAGCAUACAAGGAAUUAAUAUUCAAACAAUUCAAUCAUUACAUACAAUACAGUAAUCCCAAAUUGCCCAAAAAUAUGUCACAAAAAA
RNAcentral lists this long non-coding RNA (218 nucleotides) under Lathyrus oleraceus (garden pea). Its description in RNAcentral is "Pisum sativum (pea) long non-coding RNA (PSAT_LNC026050)". Lineage: Eukaryota; Viridiplantae; Streptophyta; Magnoliopsida; Fabales; Fabaceae. The record is from RNAcentral.